UACGUAGGGGGCGAGCGUUGCCCGAAUUUACUGGGCGUAAAGCGCACGUAGGCGGCUUCGUAAGUCUGGUGUGAAAUCUCACGGCUCAACCGAGAGGCUGCACCAGAUACUGCGAAGCUCGAGGACGGGAGAGGAGAUUGGAAUUCCCGGUGUAGCGGUGAAAUGCAUUGAUAUCGGGGGGAACACCAGUGGCGAAGGCGGAUCUCUGGCCCGUUGCUGACGCUGAGGUGCGAAAGCUGGGGGAGCGAAAGGG
RNAcentral lists this ribosomal RNA (253 nucleotides) under uncultured bacterium. RNAcentral describes it as "partial 16S ribosomal RNA". It matches the Rfam family "Bacterial small subunit ribosomal RNA", at positions 524 to 776 of the family's 1533-position model. The record is from RNAcentral.